AGACACCUGCCGUCCCGUGGACCUAGAUCAGCCUGAAGGGCACAUCUCCCCUCCGCUGCAGCAGGAUGGCUGACAUCCCUGCAGGGUGCCCUGGGCAUGGAGUUCCCGUGACAACGAGAUGCAGCUUUCCAGGGCCACAGAUUCCUUGCAAGGUGGGGGGGCAGGGAUCACUCACCCUGCUGCUGAAAUGCAGCCACCUCUGGGGUGGAACGCACUGGAGAGGACGUUGCCGCAAACCCUGCUGCAUGGAUGCUUAACUCCCAGGAAGCAGACAGGGCUGUAGGAAUGUGAGAGCAGCAUCUGUCACCAGUUCACAGCGGCGAACAGUUUUGUCUGGUUCUCGGGACCCAGCUGGCAUGAGCUGAGGGAGACCGGACAGACGGACGGACGGACGGCAGCUGCAAUUCUGCCACCAGCAGCCAGAAAAACAGGAAUGGAUGGGUGGGGGGGCAGGAGAUGCAAUAAAAGCCCUGACCACUGGGUGGUGCCCUCGUUCUGUGCACAGGCCACCCAGAGAUACUGCGGGGGGCGGGGGGGGGUGCGAUACCCACCACCAGCCACUGCCCCAGCUGCAGGCCUUGGAACAGCCUGAAGAGGGGGAGUUGCAAUACAAGCACUGGCCACUGGGGGGCACCCGUGGUGUGCAAUGUUGAGCUGGGAAUUCAGGGCUAAGAGAGGUGUGAUUAUUCCCCCCCCCCCCCAAUCGCUCCAUCCCUAUAGGGCUCCUG
Chelonoidis abingdonii (Abingdon island giant tortoise) is the source of this 728-nucleotide long non-coding RNA. RefSeq lists it as uncharacterized. NCBI's taxonomy places the organism in Eukaryota, Metazoa, Chordata, Testudines, Testudinidae. The record is from RefSeq and is a predicted model, not a curated record.